AGAACCCCGGCGAGGGGAGUGAAAAAGAACCUGAAACCGUGUACGUACAAGCAGUGGGAGCACCCUUUGGGUGUGACUGCGUACCUUUUGUAUAAUGGGUCAGCGACUUAUAUUCUGUAGCAAGGUUAACCGAAUAGGGGAGCCGGAGGGAAACCGAGUCUUAACCGGGCGUUAAGUUGCAGGGUAUAGACCCGAAACCCGGUGAUCUAGCCAUGGGCAGGUUGAAGGUUGGGUAACACUAACUGGAGGACCGAACCGACUAAUGUUGAAAAAUUAGCGGAUGACCUGUGGCUGGGGGUGAAAGGCCAAUCAAACCGGGAGAUAGCUGGUUCUCCCCGAAAGCUAUUUAGGUAGCGCCUCGUGAAUUCAUCUCCGGGGGUAGAGCACUGUUUCGGCUAGGGGGCCAUCCCGGCUUACCAACCCGAUGCAAACUGCGAAUACCGGAGAAUGUUAUCACGGGAGACACACGGCGGGUGCUAACGUCCGUCGUGAAGAGGGAAACAACCCAGACCGCCAGCUAAGGUCCCAAAGUCAUGGUUAAGUGGGAAACGAUGUGGGAAGGCCCAGACAGCCAGGAUGUUGGCUUAGAAGCAGCCAUCAUUUAAAGAAAGCGUAAUAGCUCACUGGUCGAGUCGGCCUGCGCGGAAGAUGUAACGGGGCUAAACCAUG
RNAcentral lists this ribosomal RNA (669 nucleotides) under Salmonella enterica. Its description in RNAcentral is "partial 23S ribosomal RNA". It matches the Rfam family "Bacterial large subunit ribosomal RNA", at positions 520 to 1191 of the family's 2925-position model. Lineage: Bacteria; Pseudomonadati; Pseudomonadota; Gammaproteobacteria; Enterobacterales; Enterobacteriaceae. The record is from RNAcentral. RNAcentral also lists the same sequence under 1 other name.